AUUGAACGCUGGCGGCAUGCCUUACACAUGCAAGUCGAACGGUAACGGGCCUUCGGGUGCCGACGAGUGGCGAACGGGUGAGUAAUACAUCGGAACGUGCCCGAUCGUGGGGGAUAACGAGGCGAAAGCUUUGCUAAUACCGCAUACGGUCUACGGAUGAAAGCCGGGGACCGCAAGGCCUUGCGCGGACGGAGCGGCCGAUGGCAGAUUAGGUAGUUGGUGGGAUAAAAGCUUACCAAGCCGACGAUCUGUAGCUGGUCUGAGAGGAUGAUCAGCCACACUGGAACUGAGACACGGCCCAGACUCCUACGGGAGGCAGCAGUGGGGAAUUUUGGACAAUGGGCGCAAGCCUGAUCCAGCCAUGCCGCGUGCAGGAUGAAGGCCUUCGGGUUGUAAACUGCUUUUGUACGGAACGAAAAGCCUUCUUUUAAUACAGGAGGGUCAUGACGGUACCGUAAGAAUAAGCACCGGCUAACUACGUG
RNAcentral lists this ribosomal RNA (482 nucleotides) under uncultured bacterium. Its description in RNAcentral is "partial 16S ribosomal RNA". It matches the Rfam family "Bacterial small subunit ribosomal RNA", at positions 30 to 507 of the family's 1533-position model. The record is from RNAcentral.